RNAcentral lists this ribosomal RNA (450 nucleotides) under uncultured bacterium. RNAcentral's name for it is "bacterial SSU rRNA". It matches the Rfam family "Bacterial small subunit ribosomal RNA", at positions 335 to 801 of the family's 1533-position model. The record is from RNAcentral.
ACUCCUACGGGAGGCAGCAGUAGGGAAUCUUGCGCAAUGGGCGAAAGCCUGACGCAGCGACGCCGCGUGCGGGAUGACGGCCCUAGUGGUUGUAAACCGCUUUCAGCAGGGACGAAAAUGACGGUACCUGCAGAAGAAGUCCCGGCUAACUACGUGCCAGCAGCCGCGGUAAUACGUAGGGACAAGCGUUGUCCGGAUUCAUUGGGCGUAAAGAGCUCGUAGGCGGUUCAGUAAGUUGGGUGUGAAAGCUCCGGGCUCAACCCGGAGAGGCCACUCAAUACUGCUGUGACUAGAGUCCAGUAGAGGAGCGUGGAACUCCUGGUGUAGCGGUGAAAUGCGCAGAUAUCAGGAAGAACACCGGCAGCGAAGGCGGCGCUCUGGGCUGGUACUGACGCUGAGGAGCGAAAGCAUGGGUAGCAAACAGGAUUAGAUACCCUGGUAGGCUCUGCU